GCCUGGCUGGCUCAGUCGGUAAAGCAUGAGACUCUGGAUCUCAGGGUUAUAAAUUCAAGCCCCAUGUUGGGUG
Molecule: non-coding RNA, 73 nt
Organism: Mustela putorius furo (domestic ferret)
Lineage: Eukaryota; Metazoa; Chordata; Mammalia; Carnivora; Mustelidae
Source: Rfam